AGCCCACACAAGCUAUGGAGUCCUUAUGUGACUGGAGCUGUCCAGAAGAGGCCAGGUCUGUCUCAGCAGGGGCAGCUUGGACAUCAGACAGGGGCAAGGAUGGGGUCGUGGCCAGGGAAAGGCAGACUGCAAAAAAGAAAUCACAGAGCAUGCAUGUGCCUACCCGCUGUCCCCCGCAUUUGAGCCACAGAGCCCAGGUCCCCUUGCAGCCGGCUUGGCGUGCAGGCCGGGGGAGGGGAGGCUCCGUGUGAGUGGCAAGUGUACAUGAACACCACCACGUCAACUGCCAAUAUGUUAUGAGGCCUUAGUAACAAUCCGGAGUCUCCGGGGAGCGCUGCUGCAGUUCAAGUGCGCACCAGACAGAGAGAAAACAAUUUCUGGUGCCAAUAAUGCAGCACAGAUGAAAAAUGUUUUAAUAUUUGAAGCUGCUUUAUGGCAGAAGCGAUGACAGUGAUGGACUCAAUGUCAGCUUUUUUUCCUUAAAUGUCAUCUUUCGUCUAUGAGUUUUCCCUGCUCCAGAGGCAUGCAAGCCUAAUGCUGGCUCGUUGCAGCCAUUGAUCAUUGAUUUUGUUCUAAAUGGAAAGCUUGCCAGAAGACUAGAAAUUCUGGAAUUUAUUAGGAUUUCUUUAAGAGGCACUUUAGCUCAACAGUUCUCAUUACUGUCUUUACAAUGUUACUUAUUUUUCUUUUUAUGUCAUAUGAUUUGUAAAGGGUUGGUACUCAGAGAACAAUAUACGAUUAAACCAUUGUGCAUGCUGGAGCUGCCGGCUUAGUAAAAAGGAUUCUCGGGGGGCUAAAUACAUAUUUGACGAGGAAACGGCAACACGGGGCUAUUUUACCAGCAAAAUCUGUAUUUUGAAAUUCACUGAUA
This 871-nucleotide long non-coding RNA is filed under the name Homo sapiens (human). RNAcentral's name for it is "HSALNT0258306". Lineage: Eukaryota; Metazoa; Chordata; Mammalia; Primates; Hominidae. The record is from RNAcentral.